This 289-nucleotide ribosomal RNA is filed under the name uncultured bacterium. RNAcentral describes it as "partial 16S ribosomal RNA". It matches the Rfam family "Bacterial small subunit ribosomal RNA", at positions 337 to 623 of the family's 1533-position model. The record is from RNAcentral.
GCCUACGGGAGGCAGCAGUGAGGAAUAUUGGUCAAUGGUCGGGAGACUGAACCAGCCAAGCCGCGUGGGGGAUGAAGGUACAGAGUAUCGUAAACCUCUUUUGUCAGGGAACAAAGGCGGGGACGUGUCCCCGGAUGAGUGUACCUGAAGAAAAAGCAUCGGCUAACUCCGUGCCAGCAGCCGCGGUAAUACGUAGGUGGCAAGCGUUGUCCGGAUUUAUUGGGCGUAAAGCGAGUGCAGGCGGCUCAAUAAGUCUGAUGUGGAAGACUUCGGCCCAACCGGAGAAAUG